This 426-nucleotide ribosomal RNA is filed under the name uncultured bacterium. RNAcentral's name for it is "bacterial SSU rRNA". It matches the Rfam family "Bacterial small subunit ribosomal RNA", at positions 355 to 794 of the family's 1533-position model. The record is from RNAcentral.
UGGGGAAUAUUGGGGCAAUGGGCGAAAGCCUGACCCAGCAACGCCGCGUGAGGGAAGAAGGGUUUCGGCUCGUAAACCUCUGUCCUAUGGGACGAAAGAGAUGACGGUACCAUAGGAGGAAGCCCCGGCUAACUACGUGCCAGCAGCCGCGGUAAUACGUAGGGGGCGAGCGUUGUCCGGAAUGAUUGGGCGUAAAGGGCGCGUGGGCGGCCUGCUAAGUCUGGAGUGAAAGUCCUGCUUUCAAGGUGGGAAUUGCUUUGGAUACUGGCGGGCUGGAGUGCAGGAGAGGAAAGCGGAAUUACCGGUGUAGCGGUGAAAUGCGUAGAUAUUAGGAGGAACACCAGUGGCGAAGGUGGUCUGCUGGACAGCAACUGACGCUGAGGCGCGAAAGCGUGGGGAGCAAACAGGAUUAGAUACCCUGGUAGU